GAUGAACGCUGGCGGCGUGCCUAAUACAUGCAAGUCGAGCGAACGGACGAGAAGCUUGCUUCUCUGAUGUUAGCGGCGGACGGGUGAGUAACACGUGGAUAACCUACCUAUAAGACUGGGAUAACUUCGGGAAACCGUAGCUAAUACCGGAUAAUAUUUUGAACCGCAUGGUUCAAAAGUGAAAGACGGUCUUGCUGUCACUUAUAGAUGGAUCCGCGCUGCAUUAGCUAGUUGGUAAGGUAACGGCUUACCAAGGCAACGAUGCAUAGCCGACCUGAGAGGGUGAUCGGCCACACGGGAACUGAGACACGGCCCAGACCCCUACGGGGGGCAGCAGUAGGGAAUCUUCCGCAAUGGGCGAAAGCCUGACGGAGCAACGCCGGGGGAGGGAUGAAGGUCUUGGGAUCGUAAAACUCUUUUAUUAGGGAAAAAAAUAUGUGUAAGUAACUGUGCACAUCUUGACGGUACCUAAUCAGAAAGCCGCGGCUAACUACGU
This 496-nucleotide ribosomal RNA is filed under the name uncultured bacterium. RNAcentral describes it as "partial 16S ribosomal RNA". It matches the Rfam family "Bacterial small subunit ribosomal RNA", at positions 28 to 506 of the family's 1533-position model. The record is from RNAcentral.